GAUGAACGCUGGCGGCGUGCCUAAUACAUGCAAGUCGAGCGAACGGACGAGAAGCUUGCUUCUCUGAUGUUAGCGGCGGACGGGUGAGUAACACGUGGAUAACCUACCUAUAAGACUGGGAUAACUUCGGGAAACCGGAGCUAAUACCGGAUGAUAUUUUGAACCGCAUGGUUCAAAAGUGAAAGACGGUCUUGCUGUCACUUAUAGAUGGAUCCGCGCUGCAUUAGCUAGUUGGUAAGGUAACGGCUUACCAAGGCAACGAUGCAUAGCCGACCUGAGAGGGUGAUCGGCCACACUGGAACUGAGACACGGUCCAGACUCCUACGGGAAGCAGCAGUAGGGAAUCUUCCGCAAUGGGCGAAAGCCUGACGGAGCAACGCCGCGUGAGUGAUGAAGGUCUUCGGAUCGUAAAACUCUGUUAUUAGGGAAGAACAUAUGUGUAAGUAACUGUGCACAUCUUGACGGUACCUAAACAGAAAGCCACGGCUAACUACGUG
This 497-nucleotide ribosomal RNA is filed under the name uncultured bacterium. RNAcentral describes it as "partial 16S ribosomal RNA". It matches the Rfam family "Bacterial small subunit ribosomal RNA", at positions 28 to 507 of the family's 1533-position model. The record is from RNAcentral.